GGCGAACGGGUGAGUAACGCGUGAGGAACCUGCCUCAAAGAGGGGGACAACAGUUGGAAACGACUGCUAAUACCGCAUAAGCCCACGGCUCGGCAUCGAGCAGAGGGAAAAGGAGUGAUCCGCUUUGAGAUGGCCUCGCGUCCGAUUAGCUGGUUGGUGAGGUAACGGCCCACCAAGGCGACGAUCGGUAGCCGGACUGAGAGGUUGAACGGCCACAUUGGGACUGAGACACGGCCCAGACUCCUACGGGAGGCAGCAGUGGGGAAUAUUGCACAAUGGGGGAAACCCUGAUGCAGCGACGCCGCGUGGAGGAAGAAGGUCUUCGGAUUGUAAACUCCUGUUGUUGAGGAAGAUAAUGACGGUACUCAACAAGGAAGUGACGGCUAACUACGUGCCAGCAGCCGCGGUAAAACGUAGGUCACAAGCGUUGUCCGGAAUUACUGGGUGUAAAGGGAGCGCAGGCGGGAAGACAAGUUGGAAGUGAAAUCCAUGGGCUCAACCCAUGAACUGCUUUCAAAACUGUUUUUCUUGAGUAGUGCAGAGGUAGGCGGAAUUCCCGGUGUAGCGGUGGAAUGCGUAGAUAUCGGGAGGAACACCAGUGGCGAAGGCGGCCUACUGGGCACCAACUGACGCUGAGG
Molecule: ribosomal RNA, 638 nt
Filed under: uncultured bacterium
Lineage: Bacteria
Description: bacterial SSU rRNA
Rfam family: Bacterial small subunit ribosomal RNA
Source: RNAcentral